This 491-nucleotide ribosomal RNA is filed under the name uncultured bacterium. Its description in RNAcentral is "partial 16S ribosomal RNA". It matches the Rfam family "Bacterial small subunit ribosomal RNA", at positions 29 to 506 of the family's 1533-position model. The record is from RNAcentral.
AUUGAACGCUGGCGGCAUGCUUUACACAUGCAAGUCGAACGGUAACAGGCCUUCGGGUGCUGACGAGUGGCGAACGGGUGAGUAAUGCAUCGGAACGUACCCAGAGGUGGGGGAUAACGCAGCGAAAGCUGUGCUAAUACCGCAUGUGAUCUGAGGAUGAAAGCGGGGGACCGAGCAGCAAUGUUUGGCCUCGCGCCUUUGGAGCGGCCGAUGUCGGAUUAGCUAGUUGGUGGGGUAAAGGCCUACCAAGGCGACGAUCCGUAGCUGGUCUGAGAGGACGGCCAGCCAAACUGGGACUGAGACACGGCCCAGACUCCGACGGGAGGCAGCAGUGGGGAAUUUUGGACAAUGGGCGCAAGCCUGAUCCAGCAAUGCCGCGUGCGGGAAGAAGGCCUUCGGGUUGUAAACCGCUUUUGGCAGGAACGAAACGGUGUCCGCUAAUACCGGGCGCUAAUGACGGUACCUGCAGAAUAAGCACCGGCUAACUACGU